UACGGAGGGUGCAAGCGUUGUUCGGAAUUACUGGGCGUAAAGCGCGCGUAGGCGGCUCUUUAAGUCAGUUGUGAAAGCCCACGGCUCAACUGUGGAAGCGCAUGUGAAACUGGAGAGCUUGAGUACUGAAGGGGGUGGUGGAAUUCCCGGUGUAGAGGUGAAAUUCGUAGAUAUCGGGAGGAACACCAGUGGCGAAGGCGGCUCACUGGUCCGGUACUGACGCUGAGGUGCGAAAGCGUGGGGAGCAAACAGG
RNAcentral lists this ribosomal RNA (253 nucleotides) under uncultured bacterium. RNAcentral describes it as "partial 16S ribosomal RNA". It matches the Rfam family "Bacterial small subunit ribosomal RNA", at positions 524 to 776 of the family's 1533-position model. The record is from RNAcentral.